UCCCUAUUGGCUUAGAUGGUAAAGAAUUUGUCUGCAAUGCCAGAGACCCAGGUUUGAUCCCUGGGUUGGGAA
RNAcentral lists this transfer RNA (72 nucleotides) under Capra hircus (goat). It matches the Rfam family "tRNA". From Rfam's summary of the family: Transfer RNA (tRNA) molecules are approximately 80 nucleotides in length. Their secondary structure includes four short double-helical elements and three loops (D, anti-codon, and T loops). Lineage: Eukaryota; Metazoa; Chordata; Mammalia; Artiodactyla; Bovidae. The record is from Rfam by way of RNAcentral. RNAcentral also lists the same sequence under 1 other name.